UCCCUUGUGGCUCAGCUGGUAAAGAAUCUGCCUGCAAUGCAGGAGACCUGGGUUUGAUCCCCGGGUUGGGAA
Molecule: transfer RNA, 72 nt
Filed under: Muntiacus reevesi (Reeves' muntjac)
Lineage: Eukaryota; Metazoa; Chordata; Mammalia; Artiodactyla; Cervidae
Also listed under: 5 other names
Rfam family: tRNA
About the family: Transfer RNA (tRNA) molecules are approximately 80 nucleotides in length. Their secondary structure includes four short double-helical elements and three loops (D, anti-codon, and T loops).
Source: Rfam by way of RNAcentral